GCAUUGGUGGUGUAAUGGUAACAUCGAGUCUUCCCAUUUGGGACGCUUGGCUUGGCCCCGGGUUCGAUUCCCGGCCAAUGCA
Non-coding RNA from Termitomyces sp. Mi166#008, 82 nucleotides. The record is from the annotation of a GenBank genome assembly. Lineage: Eukaryota; Fungi; Basidiomycota; Agaricomycetes; Agaricales; Lyophyllaceae.